CCUACGGGCGGCAGCAGUGAGGAAUAUUGGUCAAUGGGCGGAAGCCUGAACCAGCCAAGCAGCGUGCAGGAUGACGGCCCUAUGGGUUGUAAACCUCUUUUGUCCGGGAAUAAAGCCCCGUACGUGUCGGGCUUUGCGUGUAUCGGAAGAAUAAGCACCGGCUAACUCCGUGCCAGCAGCCGCGGUAAUACGGAAGGUCCGGGCGUUAUCCGGAUUUAUUGGGUUUAAAGGGAGCGUAGGCCGCAUGUCAAGCGUGCUGUGAAAUGUCCGGGCUCAACCCUGGCCGUGCAGGGGGAACUGGCGGGCUUGAGUCGGCGAGAAGCAGGUGGAAUGCGCCGUGUAGCGGUGAAAUGCUUAGAUAUGGCGAAGAACCCCGAUUGCGAAGGCAGCGUACUGGAGCGGAACUGACGCUGAGGCUCGAAAGCGCGGGGAUCGAACAGGAUUAGAUACCCCUGUAGUC
This 460-nucleotide ribosomal RNA is filed under the name uncultured bacterium. Its description in RNAcentral is "partial 16S ribosomal RNA". It matches the Rfam family "Bacterial small subunit ribosomal RNA", at positions 338 to 795 of the family's 1533-position model. The record is from RNAcentral.